This is a ribosomal RNA of 725 nucleotides. The stretch from base 249 to 402 matches the Rfam family "5.8S ribosomal RNA".
GAUCAUUAUUGAAAUAAACCUGAUGAGUUGCUGCUGGCUCUCUAGGGAGCAUGUGCACACUUGUCAUCUUUAUAUCUCCACCUGUGCACCUUUUGUAGACCUGGAUAUCUCUCUGAGUGCUUAGCACUUCAGGUUUGAGGAUUGACUUUAUUGUUCUCUCUUUAUAUUUCCAGGCCUAUGUUUCUUCAUAUACCCCAUUGUAUGUUAUAGAAUGUAGUAAAUAGGCCUUUGUGCCUAUAAACCUAUACAACUUUCAGCAACGGAUCUCUUGGCUCUCGCAUCGAUGAAGAACGCAGCGAAAUGCGUUAAGUAAUGUGAAUUGCAGAAUUCAGUGAAUCAUCGAAUCUUUGAACGCACCUUGCGCUCCUUGGUAUUCCGAGGAGCAUGCCUGUUUGAGUGUCAUUAAUAUAUCAACCUCUUCAACUUUGUUGAGUGUUGGAUGUGGGGGNUUUUUUUUUGCUGGCCUCUCUCUCUGAGUUCAGCUCCCCUGAAAUACAUUAGCGGAACAAUUUGUUCAUUUGGCGUGAUAAUUAUCUAUGCUAUUGACAUGAAGCAGUUCAGCUUAUAACAGUCCAUUGACUUGGACAAUUUUAUUAUUAUUAAUGUGACCUCAAAUCAGGUAGGACUACCCGCUGAACUUAAGCAUAUCAAUAAGCGGAGGAAAAGAAACUAACAAGGAUUCCCCUAGUAACUGCGAGUGAAGCGGGAAAAGCUCAAAUUUAAAA